This 741-nucleotide ribosomal RNA is filed under the name uncultured Gammaproteobacteria bacterium. Its description in RNAcentral is "bacterial SSU rRNA". It matches the Rfam family "Bacterial small subunit ribosomal RNA", at positions 138 to 873 of the family's 1533-position model. The record is from RNAcentral. Lineage: Bacteria; Pseudomonadati; Pseudomonadota; Gammaproteobacteria.
GGGGGACAACAUUUCGAAAGGAAUGCUAAUACCGCAUACGUCCUACGGGAGAAAGCAGGGGAUCUUCGGACCUUGCGCUAAUAGAUGAGCCUAAGUCGGAUUAGCUAGUUGGUGGGGUAAAGGCCUACCAAGGCGACGAUCUGUAGCGGGUCUGAGAGGAUGAUCCGCCACACUGGGACUGAGACACGGCCCAGACUCCUACGGGAGGCAGCAGUGGGGAAUAUUGGACAAUGGGCGCAAGCCUGAUCCAGCCAUGCCGCGUGUGUGAAGAAGGCCUUAUGGUUGUAAAGCACUUUAAGCGAGGAGGAGGCUACUUUAGUUAAUACCUAGAGAUAGUGGACGUUACUCGCAGAAUAAGCACCGGCUAACUCUGUGCCAGCAGCCGCGGUAAUACAGAGGGUGCAAGCGUUAAUCGGAUUUACUGGGCGUAAAGCGCGCGUAGGCGGCUAAUUAAGUCAAAUGUGAAAUCCCCGAGCUUAACUUGGGAAUUGCAUUCGAUACUGGUUAGCUAGAGUGUGGGAGAGGAUGGUAGAAUUCCAGGUGUAGCGGUGAAAUGCGUAGAGAUCUGGAGGAAUACCGAUGGCGAAGGCAGCCAUCUGGCCUAACACUGACGCUGAGGUGCGAAAGCAUGGGGAGCAAACAGGAUUAGAUACCCUGGUAGUCCAUGCCGUAAACGAUGUCUACUAGCCGUUGGGGCCUUUGAGGCUUUAGUGGCGCAGCUAACGCGAUAAGUAGACCGCC